This 75-nucleotide transfer RNA is filed under the name Cyanidium caldarium. RNAcentral's name for it is "tRNA-Cys". It matches the Rfam family "tRNA". Rfam says of the family: Transfer RNA (tRNA) molecules are approximately 80 nucleotides in length. Lineage: Eukaryota; Rhodophyta; Bangiophyceae; Cyanidiales; Cyanidiaceae. The record is from RNAcentral.
AGGCUAGGUAGCAUAAAUGGUUAAUGCGAAAGAUUGCAAAUCUUUUGAAAAUGGUUCAAAUCCAUUUCUAGCUUU